AUACGGAGGGUGCGAGCGUUAAUCGGAAUUACUGGGCGUAAAGCGUACGCAGGCGGUUAUGUCAGUCGGAUGUGAAAGCCCUAGGCUUAACCUAGGAACUGCGCUUAUUACUGGUCAACUAGAGGCCGGGAGAGGGUGGUGGAAUUCCCAGUGUAGAGGUGAAAUUCGUAGAUAUUGGGAAGAACACCAGUGGCGAAGGCGGCCACCUGGCCCGGUACUGACGCUGAGGUGCGAAAGCGUGGGGAGCAAACAGGAUUAGAAACCCCAGUAGUCC
RNAcentral lists this ribosomal RNA (274 nucleotides) under uncultured bacterium. RNAcentral's name for it is "partial 16S ribosomal RNA". It matches the Rfam family "Bacterial small subunit ribosomal RNA", at positions 523 to 796 of the family's 1533-position model. The record is from RNAcentral.